UUGUAAUUGGAAUGAUGGUGACCCAAACCCUCACCAGAGUAGCAAUUGGAGGGCAAGUCUGGUGCCAGCAGCCGCGGUAAUUCCAGCUCCAAUAGCGUAUAUUAAACUUGUUGCAGUUAAAAAGCUCGUAGUUGUAUUUUUGCGUUGACGGUUUGACCAUUUGGUUGGUUAUUUCGUUUUCGCUUUUGGGAAUUUCCCUUUUUACUUUGAGAAAAUUAGAGUGUUUCAAGCAGACUUUUGUCUUGAAUACUUCAGCAUGGAAUAAUAGAGUAGGACUUUGGUUCUAUUUUGUUGGUUAUUGAACCUUAGUAAUGGUUAAUAGGAACGGUUGGGGGCAUUCGUAUUUAACUGUCAGAGGUGAAAUUCUUAGAUUUGUUAAAGACGAACUACUGCGAAAGCAUUUGCCAAGGACGUUUCCAUUAAUCAAGAACGAAAGUUAGGGGAUCGAAGACGAUCAGAUACCGUCGUAGUCCUAACCAUAAACUAUGCCGACUAGU
Molecule: ribosomal RNA, 497 nt
Filed under: Babesia canis
Lineage: Eukaryota; Apicomplexa; Aconoidasida; Piroplasmida; Babesiidae
Description: SSU rRNA
Rfam family: Eukaryotic small subunit ribosomal RNA
Source: RNAcentral